AUGUGUGUAGGAGUGGUUUUACUGAAUCAGUGGAAACAAGGAUACACUUGAUUCAAUAAGACCUUAAA
Molecule: non-coding RNA, 68 nt
Filed under: unclassified sequences
Also listed under: 1 other name
Description: Cyano-1 RNA
Rfam family: Cyano-1 RNA
Source: RNAcentral